RNAcentral lists this transfer RNA (72 nucleotides) under Candidatus Nomurabacteria bacterium RIFCSPHIGHO2_01_FULL_41_71. RNAcentral's name for it is "tRNA-Arg". It matches the Rfam family "tRNA". Rfam says of the family: Transfer RNA (tRNA) molecules are approximately 80 nucleotides in length. Their secondary structure includes four short double-helical elements and three loops (D, anti-codon, and T loops). RNAcentral also lists the same sequence under 1 other name. Lineage: Bacteria; Candidatus Nomuraibacteriota. The record is from RNAcentral.
GCUCCCGUAGUUUAAUGGAUAAAACGAGACUCUUCUAAGGUCUUGAUGGAAGUUCGAUUCUUCCCGGGAGCA